GAUUGUGAUUUCUAUGUAGUGUAUACAUAGAUAUUUAUUUUAGAUCAUUUUUGUAUCUUUAAUGGACUCAUUGACUAUGACUUUGAACUAACGUGCUUUUCCUCGUUUGUGCCUUCGUGUUUCUGGGCUGAAUACAAUGUUGUCAGAUAGAGGUUAGUUUAUACAAUCUCUUGCUAUAGAUGAUGUUUCUUUUACUUUAUUGAUUGUUUUGUGCUUAGACACAAAAUUUUCUUAUGGAUUUGUAGCAUUUAUUUACAAUUAAUAAUGGUACCUCUGACGAAAAUUGCCAUUUUCAACAGGGUGACGCCAAGGGAUCUGUGAAGGGUGGAGAUGGAUCUACUAAAAAAGAUUGAAUUGGUUGAAAUAUACAGGUGGCUUCUUAUGGUGCAUGCAAGGUGUCUACUAAUAGUAUGAUUGUCUUUCAACCGCUUCAUUCAUUUGGAAUUUCCGUUGGCAGAUGGAUUUGUUUGGCUCCUGUAUUUAUAAAUUUAUUUUAUGUGAAGCUUGGAGUGAAAGGAGUCAGUAUCAUGUACAUUUGGGUGUGUUUCUGGAUUUCUCAGUCUGUUGUAGUAUCAAACAAUUUAGGUAGGGUUUGGUUAUUCUCACCCCUGUUUGUUUGUGAUGCAUAGAGAGGGGGGGCGGAGGUGGGGGAGGGAAGGGUGUGGUUUGAUGGGCUCCUCCCCAUUAUUAUUGUUUAAGUGCUAAUAACUGUGAUGGGCUAAAUUGCUUUUUAAGAUUGUUAUGUAACUUCUAUUCUGAUUA
Vitis vinifera (wine grape) is the source of this 762-nucleotide RNA transcript. RefSeq lists it as uncharacterized. The record is from RefSeq and is a predicted model, not a curated record. NCBI's taxonomy places the organism in Eukaryota, Viridiplantae, Streptophyta, Magnoliopsida, Vitales, Vitaceae. The transcript has 2 exons.